Molecule: non-coding RNA, 118 nt
Organism: Camponotus floridanus (Florida carpenter ant)
Lineage: Eukaryota; Metazoa; Arthropoda; Insecta; Hymenoptera; Formicidae
Source: Rfam
GAGAAAUUUCAGCUCAAGCUCGGUGGCUAUCCCGCAGGAUACGACGCUGCGAAACACGGACCGUACGAUCCUGCUCGCUAUUACGGAAAACGUGAGUUGCUUCUUCGCGUUUGACGUA